AGAGUUUGAUCCUGGCUCAGAACGAACGCUGGCGGCAUGCCUAACACAUGCAAGUCGAACGUGAAGCGGGGCUUCGGCCCCGUGGAAAGUGGCGGACGGGUGAGUAUCGCGUGGGAACCUGCCCGGUGGUACGGAAUAACCGCGGGAAACUGCGGCUAAUACCGUAUGUGCCCUUCGAGGUAGUACUCGGGGGGGAAAGAUUCAUCACCAUCGGAGGGGCCCGCGUCGGAUUAGCUUGUUGGUGGGGUAACGGCCUACCAAGGCGACGAUCCGUAGCUGGUCUGAGAGGAUGAUCAGCCACACUGGGACUGAGACACGGCCCAGGCUCCUACGGGAGGCAGCAGUGGGGAAUAUUGGACAAUGGGGGCAACCCUGAUCCAGCAAUGCCGCGUGAGUGAAGAAGGCCUUAGGGUUGUAAAGCUCUUUCACCCGUGAAGAUGAUGACGGUAGCGGGAGAAGAAGCCCCGGCUAACUCCGUGCCAGCAGCCGCGGUAAUACGGAGGGGGCUAGCGUUGUUCGGAAUUACUGGGCGUAAAGCGCGCGUAGGCGGCCUGCCAAGUCGGUCGUGAAAGCCCGGGGCUCAACCCCGGAGGUGCGUCCGAUACUGGCGGGCUCGAGACCGGGAGAGGAGAGUGGAAUUCCCAGUGUA
This 649-nucleotide ribosomal RNA is filed under the name uncultured bacterium. RNAcentral's name for it is "bacterial SSU rRNA". It matches the Rfam family "Bacterial small subunit ribosomal RNA", at positions 8 to 677 of the family's 1533-position model. The record is from RNAcentral.